This 496-nucleotide ribosomal RNA is filed under the name uncultured bacterium. Its description in RNAcentral is "partial 16S ribosomal RNA". It matches the Rfam family "Bacterial small subunit ribosomal RNA", at positions 29 to 507 of the family's 1533-position model. The record is from RNAcentral.
AUGAACGCUGGCGGCGUGCCUAAUACAUGCAAGUCGCGCGAAUAGACGAGGAGCUUGCUCCUCUGACGUUAGCGGCGGACGGGUGAGUAACACGUGGAUAACCUACCUAUAAGACUGGGAUAACUUCGGGAAACCGGAGCUAAUACCGGAUAAUAUAUUGAACCGCAUGGUUCAAUAGUGAAAGACGGUUUUGCUGUCACUUAUAGAUGGAUCCGCGCCGCAUUAGCUAGUUGGUAAGGUAACGGCUUACCAAGGCGACGAUGCGUAGCCGACCUGAGAGGGUGAUCGGCCACACUGGAACUGAGACACGGUCCAGACUCCUACGGGAGGCAGCAGUAGGGAAUCUUCCGCAAUGGGCGAAAGCCUGACGGAGCAACGCCGCGUGAGUGAUGAAGGUCUUCGGAUCGUAAAACUCUGUUAUUAGGGAAGAACAAAUGUGUAAGUAACUAUGCACGUCUUGACGGUACCUAAUCAGAAAGCCACGGCUAACUACGUG